GCAACUCGGAGGCGGUGGUGUGCCGGGGCCCGGGCCGGCGAAGCGAGGAGCGGAGCGGAGAGACGCGACGGGACAGGCCCGGACCACGCGCACAGUCGUCCAGUAGCGCACAGUGUCUGGUCAGAUACAUUGUAGAAGAAUGCAGUCCUCAAAGAAUAAAAAUGUAGAUACGCCAGACCCAUUUUAUAGGCUUUCUGUGCCUAGGCAGAAGACCAGCGCUGAGAUUAUAAAUGAAGCGAGAAAUGCGUUAAGAACUUUAAGAUCUCAAAGGCCACUUACACCUCGAGAGUAUCAAAGGAAACUUUUUGGAUCUGCAUCUUCACGAACUCCUGAUGAUAGACCACCUUCUGCUUUUAGUCUCCACGCUUCCAGUUUUGAAUCUAGUGAAUCAAGACCAAUUUCUGGUGCACGGCUCAGCCCACUGGACCAUAAGCCAAAGCUGUUUUCAUCACCCACAAAAGAUCAGCAUUCUUCCACUCUCUUUCCAAAACCACCUGUGGACCCCCUGGAGGUUAGAAAAGUCAGCAGUGCCCGGGCACGCUUGUUUAGAACAACUUCUUGGGGAAGCGUGCCUGAUGAGAAUAAGGAAAGGCUGAAUUCUGAAGACCCAGCUAUGACAGGUGAUCUUUCAAAGAGAAGUAAUGAAAAUUGUUUAGCAGAAUUGAGUACACACUCUCAUAUUAAGGAUGAUGGUAUUCUGCUAAUGUAUAAAGAACGUAAUAUGUCAGAGAAGCAAGAUUUCUUAAAAGGAUCAGCAGCAGAACCUCCAUUGCAGCUAAGUGGGAGUGAUCAGAUUAAAAAACAUGGCAGGGCUGCGUCAUGUCCAAGCAACGCUGACUGGGAUAAAUCAGGAAAGCAAGAAGGUUUGAAGGAUGACUCAAAACUAAAUGAAUCAGAAGAGGAAGAAAACUACUGGAAUGUAAAGAUUUUACCAAUUUUGCGUGAAUUAGAGAGUGAAGACAAUAUAGAAAAGCUCUGCCUUGCCUGUACCAGUCUCUAUCAAGCCUUGGAAGAAGGGCAUAUGCUAGGAAAGAGAUUUAAAAGAAGAACUGUGCUUCUGAAGACAUUAUAUAAACUGGUUGACAUUGGUUCAGACCCACUUUGCCUGAAAUUGGCAAUAAUUAUUCUGGCUAUGAAAGUGAGUGGAAAGAAUAUGCUUAGUGUGUGCAAACUUGCAUUCAAAAUUUGCAGAAAUGAAAAAAAUGAUUUUCUUAUCCAAAAUGACAAACUAUUGGAUUAUUUGUUGGAGGUCCUGAGAAUUGAAGAUUUACAAGCAAACAAUGAAGCUCUUCUUUAUUGUAUGGGGGCUAUAAAAUUCAUUUCUGGAAAUGCAGCUAUUCUUAAUGAAAUGGCCAACAAAGGAGCUGUGGAAAUACUGCUGCAGUUAGUGAAGCAGAUUAAUAACAUUAGAGAAAAUGACACACAUUUCUCCAGCUUGGGUCAUCUCUUAGUCCAGCUGACAGCUACUUUACGAAACUUGGUUGAUUUACGUCAGUCAAGAUGCCAGUUCCUGUGCAGUGAUGCCAUUUCAGAGCUCUGUGAAGUCUUGGAGCAGCGUAUAAGUGAUAAAGAUGUGUGUACCAAUAUCGCCAGGAUAUUUAGCAAACUUUCUUCCUACAAUGACUGCUGUGCAGCUUUAGCAGACUGCUCCAGAUGUUAUAUCUUAUUUUUAGCCCUCCUAAACAAACACCAAAAGAAGCAGGAUUUGGUUGUUCGUAUUGUCUUCAUUCUUGGUAAUUUAACAGCAAAGAAUAACCAGGCCCGUGAGCAAUUUUUUAAAGAGAAAGGGUGUGUUAGCAUCCUGACAUCAUUAUUCCAAAUCUACGGUGAAUUUGAUAUGAAUGAAAAAAAAAGGAAGCAUGAAGCAGGAGAAGAAAAGAAAACCCAAAAGCAUCCUUCGGAAGCAGAAGAUGUCCUUAUAAAACUGAUAAGAGUGCUUGCUAAUCUCUCCAUUCAUCCCAGUAUAGGAGCAGCUCUGGCAGCUAAUCACUACAUCGUGGCACUACUCGUUAUGGUACUAGAAUACAAGUCAAUUGAUGACUGUGAGGAGCUGGUCAUCAGUGCAACAGCAACACUUAAUAGCUUAUCGUACUACCAAGUGAGGAAUUCUGCAGUUCAAGACAAGAAACUACACAUUGCUGAGCUGCUUUUAAAACUGCUAAUGAGCAGCAAUAUGGAUGGAAUUCUGGAGGCUGUGAGAGUCUUUGGUAAUCUUUCCCAGUACCAUGAAAUCUGUGACUUCAUUGUGAAGAGAAAGAUCUACAAGUUCAUGAUUGCUUUGCUCGAUGCCAAACAUCAAGAUGUAUGCUUUUCUGCCUGUGGAGUUCUGCUUAACCUUACUGUGGAUAAGAACAAACGAGGUAUACUGAAGGAAGAAGGAGGAAUUAGAAAAUUAAUAGAUUGCUUAAGAGACUUUGGGCCUACAGACUGGCAGCUGGCUUGCUUGAUAUGCAAAACCCUGUGGAACUAUAGUGAAAAUAUCACAAAUGCUGCCUCCUGCUUUGGGGAAGAAGAUAUCAGCACACUGCUCAUGCUACUUGCUUCUCUUUUAGAUGAGGAAGUAGCACUGGAUUACAAUUUCGACAAUGAUUUAAGAGAUUACCACAAAAUGUAUUGGGAGACAGAGUUCAAACCUGUGGCAGAGAAACUACUCAGCCGACUUCAAAGACAACUCUCCUUCUUUCAGCCUAUCACCGUGACUUCAUUUUAAUUCAGAAGUUAGAGGAGUUAGCAGUACAAACCCUAGAAUAUUUCAGUCAUUUAAAAUACUGAAGACAUCCCCAAUCACCAGCACCCAUGGCAGGGAAAAGACUUGUCACUUAAGAGCCAGGGAUAUCAUCAGCUAUUACAGAGAAGCUGAACUUAGCAAGCAAGCCUUUCUUCCAUGAAGGGAAUCUCUCCCAAUGGUAACUAUUUUAAAGUCCUCUGAUUUUACUAAACACUAUGUAUGCCUUCAGUGAUCCUACUGAAUUUUUAAAUAUGUAUGUCUCUCUAGAUUUGCAAUAUUUAAAUCUUUGUUUCCUGCAAUUAAAAGUUGUGUGUAAAAAUAAAUAUAAAUCACUAAACACAUUUUUGUUG
This is an RNA transcript of Gavialis gangeticus (Gharial), 3078 nucleotides long. It is a transcript of the gene named armadillo repeat containing 2, with no coding region annotated. NCBI's taxonomy places the organism in Eukaryota, Metazoa, Chordata, Crocodylia, Gavialidae. The transcript is spliced from 19 exons. The record is from RefSeq and is a predicted model, not a curated record.